Molecule: non-coding RNA, 80 nt
Organism: Trichonephila clavata
Lineage: Eukaryota; Metazoa; Arthropoda; Arachnida; Araneae; Nephilidae
Source: the annotation of a GenBank genome assembly
GCAAACUGUGGCCAGUGGUUAAGACGUUGGACUUAGAAUCCAUUGGGGUCUCCCGCGUAGGUUCAGAUCUACCGGCUACA